Molecule: long non-coding RNA, 323 nt
Organism: Saccostrea cuccullata (small rock oyster)
Lineage: Eukaryota; Metazoa; Mollusca; Bivalvia; Ostreida; Ostreidae
Exons: 3
Source: RefSeq, a predicted model, not a curated record
UUUGUAGACAAGAAUAUUUGGAUUUUGGGGGAGAGCCAGUUAGAAGUUUAGAUGAUAAGUUAGAUAUUUUGAAGUUCUCCUAUAGCUGGGCCACUGAGGUUGAAGAUCAUGAAAGACAAAUGGAGGAGGAAGUACAGUUACAAACUAAAGAACAACAAGAGGGUGGUACAGAAAAAGAAAUUCAGAAAGGAGUUUCAAAGGAAGAUGAAAAGUUGAUGAUGCCAGAGAAACCACAGGAAGUUACGUCAGCUGGGGAAAAGAUAAACGAUAAGACAGAAGAAAUCCAGGGUCCACUCCCAAAGGAAGAGGCACAGCAGGAGAAG